Molecule: non-coding RNA, 1598 nt
Organism: Phalacrocorax carbo (great cormorant)
Lineage: Eukaryota; Metazoa; Chordata; Aves; Suliformes; Phalacrocoracidae
Source: RefSeq, a predicted model, not a curated record
UCUCCGCUCACUUCCUCAUCCUGCCGGCUCGUGAGAAGAUCCUGUUUUUUGGUUCAGCUUCGCCGGGAUGGCGCACACCACGGCAGAGGCAGGGUGUUUGUUGCAGGACAAGAACCGCUGUCCGCUUUGGUUCGUCGUGAGAAGAGGGAGAUGCCCCGAGUCCCUCCAACCCCUCCCGGGCUCCAGACACUGUCCGGCUCUUUGGGGACUGUCCUGCUUUGCCUUCGUAGCCCCUCGCACACGGGGCUGCUGGCUUGAAGGCACAGUUUCUCUGCUGCAAUUCCAAUAAUAAGCUGAGACACCCGUAGGAAUGUGGCAUCUCCGGUGCCCUCGCUCCCAGGUGCGGAGGCAGCUCUUCAAGCUCUGUGGCCACGUCCUCACUCACAAACCAGGCUUAAACCGGUUAUUAAACCUUUCUGAUGUCCAGGCUGGCGGAUCCAGGCGUGGUUGGGCCAGUGAUGCUGCUCUUCUCGAUGAGUCUAAUGCUAAAAGCAUUGUGCAGUGACCAGGGCUGCCUGGGGCUAAGUCUCCUCUUCCAAUUUCUAUCCCAAAGCUUUUCCUUUCCAUGGAUAUAGCAGGAGUGGUUUAAGAGCUGACUUACUGCUCCCGCUCCACCUGAAGCCGUAACCCUCUCUGGGGACGAGCAAGUGCCACCGUCCCCCUGCCCCUUCGGCUUCGAUGGCUUGUGGCGAGGCGCCCAGGAGGGCGGUGAGCGGAUGCGCUUGUGGGGAGCAGCCGGCGUGAGAAAAGCAAGUCCUGUAGCUCUGACGAAGCCUUUUAGGCUGGUCGCAACAGCUUGUCUGGAGGCAAAAAGCACCUGGAGAUGUUGCUGGGCCGGUCCACGCUUGGAAGCGUGGCUGCUCCACGAAACGGCUGCGAUUCCCCCAAAACUGAUGCAGAAAAACACCUCCUUCCCCCUGGAAUCGGGGUGGGCCCAGAGGCGGAUCUCAACCCAUCCCCACGGCAUCACGAAACACCUCUGGGGCUCCACGCUUAGGGUGAUGAUCCCCCCAAACCCUGCCCCGAUCCGAGAAAUCAAGGACACCCCAGACAGUGCCAGGUUGGGACCAUCCGGCCAGUUUUAUUUUAGGCGCUGCCUCUGCAACCAGCUCGGCCGCUGCGGCUGUUCGCGGGGCGCAGCAGCAGCGAGCGGAGCGGCCGGAGCGCUUUCCAGGCAGCCACCCAACGCCGUGGCCACUCGCCGCAGUCCCAAACCCCUAAAAAAAGCCCCCAGAAAACCCUGCGGAGCCCUGGAUGGAGGCAACGUAAUGAAAAACCAAAAUGCAUCGCGUGGUGUGAGGCGGCCGGGGGCUCUGAACCAGGGCGUGGCCGAGCGUCCCUGGCACGGCGGGACGGGAACAACCAUCACGCGGCUCAGCCUCUUGCCACAUCGUGUGAAACCGCGCCAGGGCACGGUAUCGCUCGCAAAACAGAAACCUCUGCAACUCAUUUUGAUCCCCCCCCCCUUUUUUCUUUUAUGUGUGUAUGUAUAUAUAUAUAUAUAAUAUAUAUAACCUUGUGAUACUGGUAGUUAAGCCACCGGCAUAACGAUGUCAGAUACAAACAGCUCUAAAAUCAAGAGUAAAAAUGACACAGUC